This 1173-nucleotide ribosomal RNA is filed under the name Salmonella enterica subsp. enterica serovar Thompson. Its description in RNAcentral is "bacterial LSU rRNA". It matches the Rfam family "Bacterial large subunit ribosomal RNA", at positions 1 to 1211 of the family's 2925-position model. Lineage: Bacteria; Pseudomonadati; Pseudomonadota; Gammaproteobacteria; Enterobacterales; Enterobacteriaceae. The record is from RNAcentral.
GGGUUGUGAGGUUAAGCGACUAAGCGUACACGGUGGAUGCCCUGGCAGUCAGAGGCGAUGAAGGGCGUGCUAAUCUGCGAUAAGCGCCGGUAAGGUGAUAUGAACCGUUAUAACCGGCGAUACCCGAAUGGGGAAACCCAGUGUGACUCGUCACACUAUCAUUAACUGAAUCCAUAGGUUAAUGAGGCGAACCGGGGGAACUGAAACAUCUAAGUACCCCGAGGAAAAGAAAUCAACCGAGAUUCCCCCAGUAGCGGCGAGCGAACGGGGAGGAGCCCAGAGCCUGAAUCAGCAUGUGUGUUAGUGGAAGCGUCUGGAAAGACGCGCGAUACAGGGUGACAGCCCCGUACACAAAAGCGCAUGUGUUGUGAGCUCGAUGAGUAGGGCGGGACACGUGGUAUCCUGUCUGAAUAUGGGGGGACCAUCCUCCAAGGCUAAAUACUCCUGACUGACCGAUAGUGAACCAGUACCGUGAGGGAAAGGCGAAAAGAACCCCGGCGAGGGGAGUGAAAAAGAACCUGAAACCGUGUACGUACAAGCAGUGGGAGCACCCUGUGUGACUGCGUACCUUUUGUAUAAUGGGUCAGCGACUUAUAUUCUGUAGCAAGGUUAACCGAAUAGGGGAGCCGGAGGGAAACCGAGUCUUAAUUGGGCGUUAAGUUGCAGGGUAUAGACCCGAAACCCGGUGAUCUAGCCAUGGGCAGGUUGAAGGUUGGGUAACACUAACUGGAGGACCGAACCGACUAAUGUUGAAAAAUUAGCGGAUGACCUGUGGCUGGGGGUGAAAGGCCAAUCAAACCGGGAGAUAGCUGGUUCUCCCCGAAAGCUAUUUAGGUAGCGCCUCGUGAACUCAUCUCCGGGGGUAGAGCACUGUUUCGGCUAGGGGGACAUCCCGGCUUACCAACCCGAUGCAAACUGCGAAUACCGGAGAAUGUUAUCACGGGAGACACACGGCGGGUGCUAACGUCCGUCGUGAAGAGGGAAACACCCCAGACCGCCAGCUAAGGUCCCAAAGUCAUGGUUAAGUGGGAAACGAUGUGGGAAGGCCCAGACAGCCAGGAUGUUGGCUUAGAAGCAGCCAUCAUUUAAAGAAAGCGUAAUAGCUCACUGGUCGAGUCGGCCUGCGCGGAAGAUGUAACGGGGCUAAACCAUGCACCGAAGCUGCGGCAGCGA